AUGGUGGAGGAGGAGGAGGCUUCGGCGGAGCUGAUCAGCCCCAGGAUCUCCUUCUCGCACGACCUCGCCGCCUUCGCGGCGGCCACCGCGGCGUGUCCGGCGACGACGCAGCCCGAGCCAAGGCGGUCGGACGCGUCCCUCAUGCCGCGGCGGAGGCGGCGGCGCGCGCCGGAGCCGGAGUUCGACUUCGCCAACGCGGCGGCCGCCGACGUCGCGCCGGCCGACCGCCUCUUCGCCGACGGCAAGCUGCUCCCCGUGCCGCCGCUGCCGCCCACCGCCCCGCACGCGCGCUGCGCCAAGGCGACGAGGCCGGCGCCGCGGUCGUGGGCGUCCCCGUUCGCGCGCAGCAGCAGCGUCAACUCCGCCAGGGCGGCGGCGUCCGGGAGGUUCACCUGCCCCGCGUUCCCGCUCAUGCGGAGCCGCUCGACCGGCUCUGCGGCGGCCGCGGCCACGGUCGGCGCCCACCAGCGGCCGCAUUGCAAGAAAGUCGCUCCGACGACGACGACGACGGCCGCAUCCGGUGCUGUUCACAACGGCAACAGCGGUGGUGGUGCGAGAUCGGUUUACUACUACGGAUACGGCGGCGGCAGGAACGGCACCGACGGCCAUGGUGGCGGCGGGGUCCGGGUGAGCCCGGUGCUGAACGUGACGUCCAUCGGCACCAGCGUGGUGAACAUGCUGAGCCACCUGCUGUGCGACUGCGGCGAGAAGGCCAGCAAGCAGCAGAGCAGGGGCUUCGGGGUGCGCUGCUGGGUAACCAGAUAG
RNAcentral lists this ribosomal RNA (765 nucleotides) under Triticum aestivum (bread wheat). RNAcentral describes it as "partial small subunit ribosomal RNA". The record is from RNAcentral. Lineage: Eukaryota; Viridiplantae; Streptophyta; Magnoliopsida; Poales; Poaceae.